AGUCUGACCAGCCAAGUAGCGUGCAGGAAGACGGCCCUAUGGGUUGUAAACUGCUUUUAUAAGGGAAUAAAGUGAGUCUCGUGAGACUUUUUGCAUGUACCUUAUGAAUAAGGACCGGCUAAUUCCGUGCCAGCAGCCGCGGUAAUACGGAAGGUCCGGGCGUUAUCCGGAUUUAUUGGGUUUAAAGGGAGCGUAGGCCGGAGAUUAAGCGUGUUGUGAAAUGUAGACGCUCAACGUCUGCACUGCAGCGCGAACUGGUUUCCUUGAGUACGCACAAAGUGGGCGGAAUUCGUGGUGUAGCGGUGAAAUGCUUAGAUAUCACGAAGAACUCCGAUUGCGAAGGCAGCUCACUGGAGCGCAACUGACGCUGAAGCUCGAAAGUGCGGGUAUCGAACAGGAUUAGAUACCCUGGUAGUCCGCACGGUAAACGAUGGAUGCCCGCUGUUGGUCUGAACAGGUCAGCGGCCAAGCGAAAGCAUUAAGCAUCCCACCUGGGGAGUACGCCGGCAACGGUGAAACUCAAAGGAAUUGACGGGGGCCCGCACAAGCGGAGGAACAUGUGGUUUAAUUCGAUGAUACGCGAGGAACCUUACCCGGGCUUGAAUUGCAGAGGAAGGAUUUGGAGACAAUGACGC
RNAcentral lists this ribosomal RNA (635 nucleotides) under uncultured bacterium. Its description in RNAcentral is "bacterial SSU rRNA". It matches the Rfam family "Bacterial small subunit ribosomal RNA", at positions 380 to 1015 of the family's 1533-position model. The record is from RNAcentral.